Etheostoma cragini (Arkansas darter) is the source of this 439-nucleotide long non-coding RNA. RefSeq lists it as uncharacterized. The transcript is spliced from 3 exons. The record is from RefSeq and is a predicted model, not a curated record. NCBI's taxonomy places the organism in Eukaryota, Metazoa, Chordata, Actinopteri, Perciformes, Percidae.
GAUCUGAGGGUCUGGGUCCCGUUGUGUGGUGAAGGGUUGCUAUUGGUUGACGUCUCUUCUUCGGUGGUGUGUUGCAGGUGCUGGCGCCGGCCGUUGACUGGUUGGACUUCCUGUCGUCCUCGCUGUCCCCCCUGGAUCUGAACGACACCGAGCCCGUGGUCCUGUACGCCCGAGACUACCUGCAGCAGGUCUCAGACCUCAUUAACAAGACGGACCACAGUCUGCUGAAUAACUACAUGAUGUGGACUCUGGUUCAGAAGAGCGUUGUGAGUCUGGACCAGCGGUUCGAGAACGCUCAGGACAAACUGCUGGAGAGUCUCUACGGGACCAAGAAGUCCUGCACCCCCCGCUGGCAGACGUGCAUCGGGAACACAGACGACACGCUGGGCUUCGCUCUGGGGGCGCUCUUCGUCAAGGAGACCUUCGACAAACACAGCAA